This 497-nucleotide ribosomal RNA is filed under the name uncultured bacterium. Its description in RNAcentral is "partial 16S ribosomal RNA". It matches the Rfam family "Bacterial small subunit ribosomal RNA", at positions 28 to 507 of the family's 1533-position model. The record is from RNAcentral.
GACGAACGCUGGCGGCGUGCCUAAUACAUGCAAGUCGAACGAACAGACGCGGAUCUUGCUCCUUUCACGUUAGCGGCGGAGGUGUGAGUAACACGUGUAUAACCCACUUGUAAUUCUGGUAUCAUUUCGGGAAUCCGGCUCUAAUCCCGUAUAAUCUACUGCUCCGUAUGGUUGGUUGGUGAAAGUCGGCUUUGCGGUCUCUUCUAGCGGCUUCCGCGCCGCUUUAGCUGGUCGGUACGGUAACGGCUUAUCACGGCGAGCAUGCGUAGCCGACCUGAGAGGGUGAUCGGCCACACUGGAACGGAGACACGGACCAGACUCCUACGGGAGGCAGCAGUAGGGAAUCUUCCGCAAUGGGCGAAAGCCUGACGGAGCAACGCCGCGUGAGUGAUGAAGGUCUUCGGAUCGUAAAACUCUGUUAUUAGGGAAGAACAAAUGUGUAAGUAACUAUGCACGUCUUGACGGUACCGAAUCAGAAAGCCACGGCUAACUACGUG